Molecule: ribosomal RNA, 253 nt
Filed under: uncultured bacterium
Lineage: Bacteria
Description: partial 16S ribosomal RNA
Rfam family: Bacterial small subunit ribosomal RNA
Source: RNAcentral
UACGUAGGGGGCAAGCGUUGUCCGGAAUUAUUGGGCGUAAAGAGCGCGUAGGCGGUCCGAUAAGUCGGCUGUGAAAGUCCAGGGCUCAACCCUGGAAAGCCGGCCGAUACUGUCGGACUAGAGUCCGGAAGAGGCAAGUGGAAUUCCCGGUGUAGCGGUGAAAUGCGCAGAUAUCUGGAGGAACACCGGUGGCGAAGGCGGCAUCCUGGACCGAGAUCGACGCUGAGGCGCGAAAGCUAGGGGAGCAAACGGG